AAUCCGAUGCGGGGUAGCCAUGCCCCAGAGUCCUGUACUCUUACCCACCAGCGUGUAACAGUGUCUAAAGGAAAUUGGAAGACCAGUUUCCCUAAAAUCGUUGUGUUUAAGGCUGUAGUCUGCAGGGACGGGAGGAAAAGGGCUCAGUGAGAUGUUGGCACGCGUUGUCUUUAACUUCACCACUUGAUGAUAUGAGUAGUCGCAUUGAUGAUCUGGAAAAGAAUAUCGCCGACCUCAUGACACAGGCUGGGGUGGAAGAACUGGAAAGUGAAAACAAGAUACCUGCCACGCAAAAGAGUUGAAGGUUGCUAAUAAUUUAUACUGGAAUCUGGCAUUUUUCCAAGCCAAGAGAAGAUCGAAUGGCUUUUUGCAGCUAACUACUAUGUGUAGACAGGUUUUAUAUUAUAAAGUAUGCAUUCUUAUCACAUACUAUAUAGUUAGUUUGUAGAGUGAUUUCCCCCCAGUUUCUUGAACAUGGUAUCUUCACAUCUUGGACCUUGGUCAGUUGUGCUAUUCAUUAUUAAACACUAAAACUUUGGCGGUUCUUGCAU
This 551-nucleotide small RNA is filed under the name Pan troglodytes (chimpanzee). RNAcentral describes it as "retained intron". The record is from RNAcentral. Lineage: Eukaryota; Metazoa; Chordata; Mammalia; Primates; Hominidae.